GACGUAGGGCGCGAGCGUUGUCCGGAUUUAUUGGGCGUAAAGAGCUCGUAGGCGGUUUGUCGCGUCGUCCGUGAAAACUUGGGGCUCAACCCCAAGCUUGCGGGCGAUACGGGCAGACUUGAGUACUGCAGGGGAGACUGGAAUUCCUGGUGUAGCGGUGAAAUGCGCAGAUAUCAGGAGGAACACCGGUGGCGAAGGCGGGUCUCUGGGCAGUAACUGACGCUGAGGAGCGAAAGCGUGGGUAGCGAACAGG
Molecule: ribosomal RNA, 253 nt
Filed under: uncultured bacterium
Lineage: Bacteria
Description: partial 16S ribosomal RNA
Rfam family: Bacterial small subunit ribosomal RNA
Source: RNAcentral